RNAcentral lists this ribosomal RNA (301 nucleotides) under uncultured bacterium. RNAcentral's name for it is "partial 16S ribosomal RNA". It matches the Rfam family "Bacterial small subunit ribosomal RNA", at positions 509 to 808 of the family's 1533-position model. The record is from RNAcentral.
CAGCCGCCGCGGGAAUACGUAGGGUGCAAGCGUUAAUCGGAAUUACUGGGCGUAAAGCGUGCGCAGGCGGUUUGUUAAGACAGAUGUGAAAUCCCCGGGCUCAACCUGGGAACUGCAUUUGUGACUGGCAAGCUAGAGUGUGGCAGAGGGGGGUGGAAUUCCGCGUGUAGCAGUGAAAUGCGUAGAUAUGCGGAGGAACACCGAUGGCGAAGGCAGCCCCCUGGGCCAACACUGACGCUCAUGCACGAAAGCGUGGGGAGCAAACAGGAUUAGAGACCCCCGUAGUCCUGUCUCUUAUACC